Molecule: long non-coding RNA, 1298 nt
Filed under: Mytilus galloprovincialis (Mediterranean mussel)
Lineage: Eukaryota; Metazoa; Mollusca; Bivalvia; Mytilida; Mytilidae
Source: RNAcentral
GCUGGAACUUUCUAAAAGAAGUCAGGGUGACAGUUCUAUAUACUACCCUAGAGCAGUUCUAUAUUCUCUCCUAGAGCAGUACUAUAUACUCUCCUAGAGCAGUUCUAUAUACUUUUCUAGAGCAGUUCUAUAUACUCUCCUAGAGCAGUUCUAUAUGCUCUCCAAGAACAGUUCUCCUGACAGUUCUAUAUACUCUCCUAGAGCAGUUCUCCUGACAGAUUUGAUGAGAGGUAAGAAGAGAUAUCCACUGUAAAUGUGAAUCUGAAAUACAAUUUCUAUUUUAAAGUUUUAGGGCUUAAAUACACGAAGGUCAAAUGUCGAUUUAAAAAAUUGACGGCAGCUUAGGACAAUGCAAAAAUGAAUCACGGAAUGAAUAAAUAAAGAAACACAGUUAAGAAACCUCCUUGUACUUGUGUGUUCAUUCAAACUGCAGUGCGAAUAGGUUUAUUUUGUUGGAAAGAAUAAUAAAAAACAAAUUAUUAUCUUUAAUUCAAUGACAAACAUGUAACAAUAUAUUAACGAUUAAACAUAUUCAAAAGAUGAAUAUCACGUGAUGUAUCAAUUAAACCCGGAAACAUAUAAUUAGUUUAAUAACAACAAACAGUUGCCUUUAUUCCAACAAAAACAUCGAAAUGACUGCAAAUCACCAAUAUGUACGAUGUACUACUAUGCAAAAGAACAAUAGGAUACAGACACAAAUGUAUAGUUUUCAUCAUGUUUAUUGAAAUCGUUGUGAUACUAAUCCAAGCAAAUUAACUAAAAUGUCAUGCAAAAAGUAAAAGCGAGCAUAUUUAUCUUUGAUAUUAAUACUCAUGAAAUAUUCUUUCUUUUUAUAGUCAAUUAGUUUUUGAUUGAUUGCUAAUCUUAAUUGAGUAGAAUUAUGUUUUUGAUUACUGCGUUAUAGAGACAAUGGGCCAUGAAUUUGAUCUUUCUCGCAUGUUUUUCGUAUAAAGUUUUGGAAAACAGAUAAUAUAUCUCUUCAAAAUAACAUGGACAUUCCCCUUAAAAAAACCCACAAAAAACAAACUUAGAUUUUUGAACUUUUGAAUAUAUGAAACUUCAAUUGUAAAAUCUGAGCACGCAUCAAGUCUCACGCUAUUGAUACAAUUCUCUCAAGUUUAUCUCUCUUCUUUUAUACAUAUUAAAUGAAUUUAGAGAUUGGCACCAAUAAGAGAGAGGCGAAAGAUCAAACAGGGAUAUUCAAGCACAUAUAUAGGAGAAAAACUAAUUUCGCUAUGGCUGGAAACGAAAAACGAGUACACGAUACACAACAGCAUACACACCACUAUAUACAAAAC